Molecule: unclassified non-coding RNA, 2392 nt
Filed under: Hevea brasiliensis (rubber tree)
Lineage: Eukaryota; Viridiplantae; Streptophyta; Magnoliopsida; Malpighiales; Euphorbiaceae
Source: RNAcentral
UGAACUCACAGAUCAAAGUAGAGCUUCCCUUGGUGAAGAUGGGGCAAUUGAACCUCUAGUCAAAAUGUUUAAAACUGGAAAGCUUGAAGCCAAGUUAUCUGCACUAAAUGCAUUGCAAAAUUUAUCAAUGUUGACAGAAAACAUACAGCGUCUAAUCAGUUCAGGCAUUGUAGUACCCCUGCUUCAGCUACUAUUCUCUGUCACAUCUGUGCUCAUGACUCUUCGGGAGCCAGCAUCAGCCAUACUCGCACGGAUAGCUCAAUCUGAAUCUAUUCUGGUUAACCAAGAUGUUGCUCAGCAGAUGCUCUCUCUUUUAAAUCUGUCCAGUCCGGUAAUUCAGUUUCACCUCUUACAAGCACUCAAUAGCAUUGCUUCCCAUUCUAGGGCAACUAAAGUAAGGAAAAAGAUGAAGGAAAAUGGUGCAUUCCAGCUUCUUUUGCUCUUCCUUACAGAAACUAAUAUGAAAAACAGAACUGCUGCCUUAAAUUUGCUUUACGCUCUUUCUAAAGACUUACCAGAAGAAUUGAUGGAACAGCUCGGAGAAUAUCAACUUAAUAACAUUGUAAAUAUCGUCUCUUCGUCGACAUCUGAGGGUGAAAAAGCUGCUGCUGUUGGAAUACUGAAUAAUCUCCCUGUUGGUAAUAAGAAAGCAACAGAUGUACUUAAGAAAUCUAACUUGCUGCCCAUUCUGAUCUCGAUAAUAAGUUCAAGUGAAUCAACUUCAACGCCCACAACAAGCUGGUUAAUGGAGAACAUUGCAGGCAUAUUUAUUCACUUUACAGUUCCUUCUGAUAAGAAACUACAGCUUCUUUCUGCAGAAUUAGGAGUGAUUCCUUUGCUUGUGAAGUUGCUUUCAAGUGGGUCAUUGGUUGCCAAGUGUAGAGCUGCAACCUCACUAGCUCAACUGUCACAGAAUUCACUAGCUCUAAGAAAGUCCAGAAAAUCGAGGUGGACUUGUAUGCCUCAUUCUGCAGAGGCUUUUUGCGAAGUUCAUGAUGGCUAUUGCAUUGUUAAAAGCACAUUUUGUUUGGUCAAGGCUGGUGCUAUCUGUCCACUGAUUAAAAUAUUGGAAGGUGAAGAAAGAGAAGCUGAUGAAGCUGUUCUUGAUGCACUUGCAACUCUCUUGCAAGAUGAAAUUUGGGAAAGUGGAAGCAACUAUAUAGCCAGAAUGUCAGUUUCCAAAGCAAUAAUAAAAGUUUUAGAAUCAGGAAAUGCAAAAGCUCAAGAAAAAGCACUGUGGAUAUUGGAGAGGAUCUUUAGAAUUGAGGAACACAGAACACAAUAUGGAGAGUCUACUCAGGUGGUGCUCAUUGAUCUUGCACAAAAUGGUGAUCCGAGAUUAAAAUCAUCAGUUGCAAAAGUUUUGGCACAGCUGGAGCUCCUGCAACCUCAAUCUAGUUACUUCUAAGAGAAUUUGUGUCAUAUAAGCAAUGUUGAAUUGAAGUUUGUAUUUCCCAGUGCAGAAAGAAUCAAUCGUGGUGGUCAGGUUGUUUCUGAAAUUAUUGAAAGUUGCUGCACACAUGAUUAUACAGAUAUCAUUUUGGUUCAAGAGCAUCAUGGUGUGCCUGAUGGUUUAAUUAUAAGCCAUUUGCCUUUUGGUCCAACUGCUUACUUUGGAUUGCUCAAAGUCGCAAGUAUUCUGUGUAUUGUUGUAUUAUAUUUUAGGCCUUUGAUUUAGCUUAGUAGUUCAGUCCGUUAAUAUGCUAAUCAAGCAUUUAAUUGUAGGUUACUAUACAUGGACAAAAAAGCCAUUGGAGCAAUGCUUGAGGCUUACCCACAUUUGAUUCUUAAAAAUUUUAAAACCAAGACAUCUUAUUUAAAAGCAUGGAGCUCCUAAGUGUAUCGAGCUUUGAAAUGCUGCUUUAUCAGGCAACUAUUAGUUCACUUUUCAUAAUUGCCACUAAAUUAUAUUAAAAUUUUAAAAUUUCUGUUUUUAGCUUUAUUUUCAAAAAAAUGUUGUUUUGACAAUGGUUUAGUAUUAUGUACUGAUUUUGUUUGGCUUGUCUUUCCUGUUUUUGUUAUGCAGAUGAAGUUGAGAAGAAUGGAUCAGAGCGAAAUCCACAUUGAGAGGGUGAAUUGACCAUACAUCAACACAUCUAAAAAACAGAAGUUUAUUGGGGACUGAUAGACACAACCUCAAAUUUAACCUUCAACCUUUUAUCUUUGUUUCUUUAUAUAUUUUGGAAAAUUUUGCUAAAUAUUCUUUGAAAUCUUGUUGCUCUUUAGUCCUUAUCAAUCUUAUGGUGGUACCACAUUAAAUAGAGGCAGGACCCUAAAGGCAUAGUUUUACUCCAUCUGAACUGGGUUCAAUAAACAUGAUGCACCAUCAAUCAUUUGUUAUUAACGAGCAUUAAAAAUUAAUUGUUAGCCAAGACGAGCAAAUACUUUUUUC